AACGCAUAUUGCGCCCUUUGGCAUUCCGAAGGGCAUACCUGUUCGAGCGUCAUUACACCUCUCAAAGAUAACUCUUUGGCGUUGGGCAAUGCCUAAAGGCAUGCCUCAAAAUCAGCGAUGGUGAUAUUCAACCACAGGGCGCACAAACGUCGUCUAGCUGGCGGGAUGUUGUCAGUCAAUUGAUGAAUUUCUAAUUGUUGACCUCGGAUCAGGUAGGAAUACCCGCUGAACUUAA
Molecule: unclassified non-coding RNA, 235 nt
Filed under: uncultured fungus
Lineage: Eukaryota; Fungi
Description: sequence contains ITS2
Source: RNAcentral